This 500-nucleotide ribosomal RNA is filed under the name uncultured bacterium. Its description in RNAcentral is "partial 16S ribosomal RNA". It matches the Rfam family "Bacterial small subunit ribosomal RNA", at positions 30 to 523 of the family's 1533-position model. The record is from RNAcentral.
AUUGAACGCUGGCGGCAUGCCUUACACAUGCAAGUCGAACGGCAGCACGGGAGCAAUCCUGGUGGCGAGUGGCGAACGGGUGAGUAAAGUAUCGGAACGUGCCCAGUCGUGGGGGAUAACGUAGCGAAAGUUACGCUAAUACCGCAUACGAUCUAUGGAUGAAAGCGGGGGAUCGCAAGACCUCGCGCGAUUGGAGCGGCCGAUAUCAGAUUAGGUAGUUGGGGGGGUAAAGGCUCACCAAGCCGACGAUCUGUAGCUGGUCUGAGAGGACGACCAGCCACACUGGGACUGAGACACGGCUCAGACUCCUACGGGAGGCAGCAGUGGGGAAUUUUGGACAAUGGGCGAAAGCCUGAUCCAGCCAUGCCGCGUGCAGGAUGAAGGCCUUCGGGUUGUAAACUGCUUUUGUACGGAACGAAAAGGUUUGGGCUAAUAAGCUGAGCUCAUGACGGUACCGUAAGAAUAAGCACCGGCUAACUACGUGCCAGCCGCCGCAGUAA